GGCUACAGAACGAACGCUGGCGGCAUGCCUAACACAUGCAAGUCGAACGAACCUUCGGGGUGAGUGGCGCACGGGUGCGUAACGCGUGGGAACCUGCCCUUAGGUUCGGAAUAACAGUGAGAAAUCGCCGCUAAUACCGGAUAAUGUCUUCGGACCAAAGAUUUAUCGCCUUUGGAUGGGCCCGCGUUGGAUUAGCUAGUUGGUGGGGUAAAGGCUCACCAAGGCGACGAUCCAUAGCUGGUCUUAGAGGAUGAUCAGCCACACUGGGACUGAGACACGGCCCAGACUCCUACGGGAGGCAGCAGUGGGGAAUAUUGGACAAUGGGCGAAAGCCUGAUCCAGCAAUGCCGCGUGAGUGAUGAAGGCCUUAGGGUUGUAAAGCUCUUUUACCAGGGAUGAUAAUGACAGUACCUGGAGAAUAAGCUCCGGCUAACUCCGUG
This 440-nucleotide ribosomal RNA is filed under the name uncultured bacterium. RNAcentral describes it as "bacterial SSU rRNA". It matches the Rfam family "Bacterial small subunit ribosomal RNA", at positions 26 to 507 of the family's 1533-position model. The record is from RNAcentral.